AAUCUUUUAAAGGUCGAACAGACCUAAAAUUCUAUCUUCUGCCCCAGAAUUCUAGAUUAAUUCAACAUCGAGGUCACAAUCAAAUUUAUAUAUAUGAACUUUACAAAUUUAUUAUG
This 116-nucleotide ribosomal RNA is filed under the name Nilaparvata lugens (brown planthopper). RNAcentral's name for it is "partial 16S ribosomal RNA". The record is from RNAcentral. Lineage: Eukaryota; Metazoa; Arthropoda; Insecta; Hemiptera; Delphacidae.